GAGAGCCCACCGAUCUCCGCCAGGAGGGCAGAGGUUCCAUGGACUUCCAGCACCCGAGAGAAGCGAAUGUGUGUAACAGGGAGAGCAGUGUCCUGUCUGGAGCUGAGUUCCUUCUCCAGGCUUCUCUCUUCACAAACUCAUUGGAACAAAGAAAAAUCCAAGAGCAGCAAAACAUUGACAAUGCAUCGUAGCAGCUUUAUGAACAAAAUCUGGCUUCACCAGGCUACUAGAAAGAACUCAUUUCCGAUGAAUGUCAUAAAAAUGUAAGAGCUUAAAGAAUAAAUAUGCGUGUGUUUCCUAACAUUGCUAUUUGCCUGCA
This is a long non-coding RNA of Herpailurus yagouaroundi (jaguarundi), 319 nucleotides long. RefSeq lists it as uncharacterized. The record is from RefSeq and is a predicted model, not a curated record. Lineage: Eukaryota; Metazoa; Chordata; Mammalia; Carnivora; Felidae. The transcript has 2 exons.